RNAcentral lists this long non-coding RNA (505 nucleotides) under Mus caroli (Ryukyu mouse). Its description in RNAcentral is "predicted gene 12081 (MGP_CAROLIEiJ_G0002579.1)". The record is from RNAcentral. Lineage: Eukaryota; Metazoa; Chordata; Mammalia; Rodentia; Muridae.
ACCCGGCCAUGGAACAGUUUCCUGAUCCUAUUUGAAAAGCCUGCUUGAUAUCUGUGGGCAUUUCUCUAAUUUCAAAUCUCAGUUGUAAGGACUACCCUUGAUGGAAAUGAACAGCAGGGAAAAGAUGAAAAGGCCACAACUAAUCUAGUGUCUCGUCCAUCGAAGUCGAGUUUGGGUGCUGGAGUGAAGCCUCAUUUUCUGAGAUGGAAGGCAAGACGGGUGGUCUUGAUGUCUUCUGGAGCUUAACAGAGCAUGGUCCUGGUAGGGUCCAACAAUUGGAUGACAACACAUGAAUGGUGUUUCGCAACAGAGGGGUUCUGGAUGUCUCAGACUUGGGGAUCUACCUGUGAUGCUGUCCAUGUUUGGCUAGAAUACCACCUGUGGGAUUAUAAUUCCAUUGAGGAUCCAGAUCAGGUACUGUCUCCAUUCCAAUUGGAUAUGCUCUAUCUGUUUGAUGAAUCUCAUCUGCAUGCACUCUUGCUUGUUCCCCAACUCACCAGCGUUC